GGAAUAUUGGACAAUGGGCGCAAGCCUGAUCCAGCCAUGCCGCGGGAGUGAAGAAGGCCUUAGGGUUGUAAAUCUCUUUCGGCGGGGACGAUAAUGACGGUAACCGCAGAAGAAGCCCCGGCUACCCCCGUGCCAGCCGCCGCGGUAAUACGGAGGGGGCUAGCGGUGUUCGGAAUUACUGGGCGUAAAGGGCACGUAGGCUGGCUGUUAAGUCGGGGGUGAAAUCCCGAGGCUCAACCUCGGAAUUGCCUUCGAUACUGACGGUCUUGAGUGCGGGAGAGGUGAGUGGAAUUCCCAGUGUAGAGGUGAAAUUCGUAGAUAUUGGGAAGAACACCAGUGGCGAAGGCGGCUCACUGGCCCGCAACUGACGCUGAGGUGCGAAAGCGUGGGGAGC
This 394-nucleotide ribosomal RNA is filed under the name uncultured bacterium. RNAcentral's name for it is "bacterial SSU rRNA". It matches the Rfam family "Bacterial small subunit ribosomal RNA", at positions 358 to 769 of the family's 1533-position model. The record is from RNAcentral.